AGUGUAUGUGGUGGAUGCCUUGGCGAUCACAGGCGAUGAAGGACGUGACAGCCUGCGAAAAGCUGUGGGGAGCUGGCAAAUAAGCUUUGAUCCACAGAUGUCCGAAUGAGGGAACUCACCUGCUUUGCAGGUAUCCCAUCCUGAAUAUAUAGGGAUGGGAGGCGAACGAAGCGAACUGAAACAUCUAAGUAGCUUCAGGAAAAGAAAUCAACCGAGAUUCCGAAAGUAGCGGCGAGCGAAAUCGGAUCAGCCCAGCACUCGAUAGCAGCCAACUUACGGGAACGGUCUGGAAAGUCCGGCCAUAGAGGGUGAUAGCCCCUUACUGGAAAAGGCAGCUGUGGUACUAAGUGUGCGAUAAGUAGAGCGGGACACGUGACAUCCUGCUCGAAGAUGGGGGGACCAUCCUCCAAGGCUAAAUACUCGUGAUCGACCGAUAGCGUACCAGUACUGUGAAGGAAAGGUUAAAAGAACCCCGGGAGGGGAGUGAAAUAGAUCCUGAAACCGCAUACAUACAAACAGUAGGAGCCUCGUUAAGGGGUGACUGCGUACCUUUUGCAUAAUGGGUCAGCGACUUACGUUUAAUGGCGAGCUUAACCGUAUAGGGGAGGCGCAGCGAAAGCGAGUUCGAACAGAGCGUUCAGUCGUUAGGCGUAGACCCGAAACCAGAUGAUCUAUCCAUGGCCAGGUUGAAGGUGUGGUAACACACACUGGAGGACCGAACCGACUAGUGUUGCAAAAUUAGCGGAUGAGCUGUGGAUAGGGGUGAAAGGCUAAACAAAUCUGGAGAUAGCUGGUUCUCCCCGAAAACUAUUGAGGUAGUGCCUCGUGUAUGACUCCAGGGGGUAGAGCACUGUUAUGGCUAGGGGGACAUGGCGUCUUACCAAACCAUGGCAAACUCCGAAUACUUGGAAGUUUGAGCACGGGAGACAGAGCACCGGGUGCUAACGUCCGGACUCAAGAGGGAAACAACCCAGACCGCCGGCUAAGGUCCCUAAUAUUGACUAAGUGGAAAACGAAGUGGAAAGGCUAAGACAGUCAGGAAGUUGGCUUAGAAGCAGCCAUCCUUCAAAGAAAGCGUAAUAGCUCACUGAUCGAGUCUUUCUGCGCGGAAGAUGUAACGGGGCUAAGUCAAUAACCGAAGCCGCGGAUUCACACUUGUGUGUGAGUGGUAGGGGAGCGUUCUGUAAGCCUGCGAAGGUGACUCGUAAGGGUUGCUGGAGGUAUCAGAAGUGCGAAUGCUGACAUGAGUAACGUUAAAGCGGGUGAAAAGCCCGCUCGCCGUAAGCCCAAGGUUUCCUGCUCUACGUUCAUCGGAGCAGGGUGAGUCGGCCCCUAAGGUGAGGCUGAGAAGCGUAACUGAUGGGAACAAGGUUAAUAUUCCUUGACCACCGCUGAAUGCGAAGGGGGGACGGAGUAUUGAAGAUCAUCCGGGUGUUGGAUAUCCCGGUUUGCGAGCGUAGGAGGCUGACAGGCAAAUCCGUCAGCGGAUCUCCGAGGCAAAGCAUCGAGCUCUCUUUUGAGCGAAGUGAUUGGAUGUGCUUCCAGGAAAAGCCUCUAAGCUCCAGUUCAGCGGGACCGUACCGCAAACCGACACUGGUGGGCGAGCUGAAUAUGCUCAGGCGCUUGAGAGAACUCAGGAGAAGGAACUCGGCAAAUUGACACCGUAACUUCGGGAUAAGGUGUGCCUUUGUAGCGUGGAGGGAGAAACACCCCGAGCGCGAAGAGGUCUCAGAUAAUCGGUGGCUGCGACUGUUUAUUAAAAACACAGCACUCUGCAAAGACGAAAGUCGACGUAUAGGGUGUGAUGCCUGCCCGGUGCUGGAAGAUUAAUUGAUGGGGUGCAAGCUCCUGAUCGAAGUCCCAGUAAACGGCGGCCGUAAAUAUAACGGUCCUAAGGUAGCGAAAUUCCUUGUCGGGCAAGUUCCGACCUGCACGAAUGGCAUAACGAUGGCCACACUGUCUCCUCCUGAGACUCAGUGAAGUUGAAGUGUUUGUGAUGAUGCAAUCUCCCCGCGGCUAGACGGAAAGACCCCAUGAACCUUUACUGUAGCUUUGCAUUGGACUUUGAACCGAUCUGUGUAGGAU
This 2085-nucleotide ribosomal RNA is filed under the name human gut metagenome. Its description in RNAcentral is "bacterial LSU rRNA". It matches the Rfam family "Bacterial large subunit ribosomal RNA", at positions 14 to 2144 of the family's 2925-position model. The record is from RNAcentral.